CUGCUUAUAGUGAUUUAUUUAUUAACAUCUUUCCAGGGAUUCUGUGAAUAAUAUUGAAGUCUUGAGGCAGAUUUGAAUAGAUUGCCGUUGGCUGACUGUAUAUUAAGUCCGGCUGCGCUGUGUGUGAUAACGUUGCAUUGCCGUGGUGCUAGCUAGUGCUAAGCUAGUCAAGUUCAACAGCCAGUAUUUUCAACUUGUGGCAGUAAGAUUCUUUCCCGAAAGAUGGUUGGAAAUGUGUAUUUGCAGUUGGACUGACCUUUUACUGUUUAGGAUUCCCCCAAUCACGCAAUACCAUCAGCGCUAGGAGGGUGAAGGAUGGUGAUAUGGCUGCAACUGAACGGGGGAUUGAGGAGACUGUUCUGGGGAUCUGUGUGACUAGAGUUGAGGGAGCUGAAGCCAUGGACCCCCUGCCAAUACUGGAGUGGUAUUAGAAGGUGGUGUGGUUCUUGGGCAGUGUGUUCCUUGCCUUUGCAGUUCGGGCUGAUUUAUGCCUUAUACAGUGU
Trichomycterus rosablanca is the source of this 503-nucleotide long non-coding RNA. RefSeq lists it as uncharacterized. The transcript has 4 exons. Lineage: Eukaryota; Metazoa; Chordata; Actinopteri; Siluriformes; Trichomycteridae. The record is from RefSeq and is a predicted model, not a curated record.